CAAAGAUUUAUUUUUGUUCGCAUGUUUGUGCUGGUGCCACAUGUGUGGACUUUUGGAGGCCAAACGAUCAAGCUGGAUUUGGAUUCCCUGGAGCUGCAGUUACAGGCAGUUGUGAGCCACCUAAUGUGGGUGCUGGGAGCUGAACUAGGAAAAGCAGUAAAUGUCCAACCUGCAGCUUGGGGUUGCACAUAUCCCAGUGUGCUGUGAAUGCAGCCCAACACACCUGUAGAUGACAUCAUACUACCUUAAGUCUCCUUUAGUCACUACUGUCUUUCCUGGCACAUCUGUAGAUGAUAUCAUAUUACCUUGUUAAGUCUGAGAGGCAAGCUUUGUCUCCUUUAGUCACUACUGUCUUUCCUAUAGCAGACUCAAAGCAGAAUACAUGUUUAUGAGGGACUGGGUGUUGGGGAAGCCUAGUAACCCCAUAAAGGCAUCAUAGACUCAGGCUCGAAUCUCUGCAGAUUGGGCUUCUAACCACCAUGGCCAUCCUCCUGCAUGAGAUCCCCCAUGAGGUGGGUGACUUUGCUAUCCUGCUCCGGGCUGGCUUUGACCGAUGGACCGCAGCCAAGCUACAGUUUUCUACAGCCCUGGGAGGCCUUCUGGGGGCCUGCUUUGCCAUCUGUACGCAAUCCCCCAAAGGAGUAGAGGAGACGGUGGUCUGGACCCUGCCCUUUACCUCAGGAGGCUUUCUCUAUGUUGCCCUGGUGAAUGUGCUACCUGACCUCUUGGAGGAAGAUGACCCAUGGCACUCCCUGCAGCAGGUGCUGCUGCUCUGCUCCGGUAUCGUGGUGAUGGUGCUGCUCUCGUUGUUCGUUGAAUAACCACUGCUGACAGCCCACUCUGCAUAGCAAGCAAUAA
RNAcentral lists this long non-coding RNA (858 nucleotides) under Rattus norvegicus (Norway rat). RNAcentral's name for it is "long non-coding RNA NONRATT019452". Lineage: Eukaryota; Metazoa; Chordata; Mammalia; Rodentia; Muridae. The record is from RNAcentral.